UACGUAGGGUGCGAGCGUUGCCCGGAUUUAUUGGGCGUAAAGGGCGCGUAGGCGGCCACGCACGUCCGUUGUGAAAUCGCCCGGCUCAACUGGGCGGGGUCAGCGGAUACGGUGUGGCUCGAGCAAGCUAGGGGGCAAUGGAAUUCCCGGUGUAGUGGUGGAAUGCGUAGAUAUCGGGAGGAACACCAGUGGCGAAGGCGGUUGCCUGGAGCUUUGCUGACGCUGAGGCGCGAAAGCGUGGGGAGCGAGUCGG
Molecule: ribosomal RNA, 253 nt
Filed under: uncultured bacterium
Lineage: Bacteria
Description: partial 16S ribosomal RNA
Rfam family: Bacterial small subunit ribosomal RNA
Source: RNAcentral